AGCGAACGUUUGCGGCGGGCCUAACACAUGCAAGUCGAACGCACUAGCAAUAGUGAGUGGCGCACGGGUGCGUAACACGUGGGUAAUCAACCCUUCAGCUUGGGAUAACGACUUGAAAGGGUCGCUAAUACCGGAUACGGCGCGGGAGGCUUCGGCUUCUCACGAGAAAGCCUCGCAAGGGGCACUGAAGGACGAGCCUGCGGCCCAUCAGCUAGUUGGUGAGGUAAGAGCUCACCAAGGCGAAGACGGGUAGCUGGUCUGAGAGGAUGAUCAGCCACACUGGAACUGAGACACGGUCCAGACUCCUACGGGAGGCAGCAGUGGGGAAUAUUGCGCAAUGGGCGAAAGCCUGACGCAGCCACGCCGCGUGAGCGAUGAAGGCCUUCGGGUCGUAAGACUCUGUGGGGAGAGACGAAGAAAGCCCGUGAAGAGCGGGCCUUGACGGUAGUCUCCUUAGCAAGCACCGGCUAACUCCGUGCCAGCAGCCGCGGUAA
This 494-nucleotide ribosomal RNA is filed under the name uncultured bacterium. RNAcentral's name for it is "bacterial SSU rRNA". It matches the Rfam family "Bacterial small subunit ribosomal RNA", at positions 29 to 523 of the family's 1533-position model. The record is from RNAcentral.